Molecule: ribosomal RNA, 301 nt
Filed under: uncultured bacterium
Lineage: Bacteria
Description: partial 16S ribosomal RNA
Rfam family: Bacterial small subunit ribosomal RNA
Source: RNAcentral
CAGUCGCCGCGGGAAUACGGAGGGGGCUAGCGUUGUUCGGAAUUACUGGGCGUAAAGCGCACGUAGGCGGCUUGGUAAGUUAGAGGUGAAAGCCCGGAGCUCAACUCCGGAAUUGCCUUUAAGACUGCCGAGCUAGUAGGUGAGAGAGGUAAGUGGAAUUCCGAGUGUAGAGGUGAAAUUCGUAGAUAUUCGGAAGAACACCAGUGGCGAAGGCGGCUCACUGGCUCAUACUGGACGCUGAGGUGCGAAAGCGUGGGGAGCAAACAGGAUUAGAUACCCGAGUAGUCCCUGUCUCUUAUAA